CCUCCUCCUCCUCCUCCUCCUCCUCGUCUUCUGCGCCCGCCCCCGCAUCCGCUGACGCCUUCUCUUCUAAUGCCGGGGCGAGCGCCGCGCCCACCUCCGCCACUCCCGGCGGCGCCUCGGUCGCUGCUCCGUCAUCGCCAUCGGACGACGUGGCGGCAUCGCCCUUCUUCCGGCCGAUCUUCAUCUGAUCUGGAUCCUUUGGUCGCAGGUUUUCUUUGUAGCUCCUCUCCCUCUCUCUCUCUCUUCCAUGGUGCUGAUCCUAAAUUAUCAGAUGUUGCUGGAGUUGUAGUGUGUAAUUCUUUGACACCUAUGACUAUAGCUAAUCUAUAAAGGUGCGCACCAUGAACUAAUAGCUAUCUUUUAGUUCCUUCUGUUUAUGGAGUUGAGAAGUCAAUGAUACUAGUACAUGUGUUUCAUGAGAAAAGAGAAAUUUGUGGACUUUAUGGAAUUGAGAAUUUAUGAAUGCUUGUAUGUCAUAAAAAAGAGAAAAUAAUCACUGUUUCUUGGGGUUAACCUUACCUGGUCACUUGCAAGGAUAUUGCAACUGUUUCAGCACCAUGCAAGCAAACAAUAGCAAAUUCAUUUGCAGUUGUUAGUUACAAGCAACCAAACAAAAAAUAGUUGUUGCAACUGCAAAUGAAUUGCAGCAUUUCCAUUUAUAACUACAAAUCUUUUUGCAUGCCAAUAGAUUCGUAUGCAACCAAACAGCCCCUAAGAGUUGUAUAGCUAUAUUGAUGUGGAUCCUCUAAUUUCUACUAUCAUAGUGGGAAAGGCCUCAAGCCUCCAUCCAUGAGUCACUAAGAUGUUUGUCCAUGUUCCAUUUUACACAUACUCCAUUCUUGAAAAAGUACACCUCACCUAGUAUUUGGUUUUCUAUCUUUAAGGGACAAAAAGAAAGGGUCGGAUGAAGCAAAAUAAAGAGUUUAUUUAUUGAUACAAUCAUUUUUUGGGGGAAAAAAAACUCAAUCCCUACUAUGAUAGCACAAAAGUCUUUUAUCUCCACCCUUGAGUCCCCAAGUUGCUUGUCCAUGUCUCAUUUGAUGGAAUAUAAACAUGUACCGCCUUUGAGCAAAAAAAUGCAUCCCACUUGUUUUAGUAAUCUAAAUUAAAGGGAAAGUGAAAAGAAUGUGCAUAAAGCAAAAAUAGGAGUUCUUUUAUCACUUUAUUAGUCAAAAAAAUAGAAGGGAUCAUAAUCAUCCUUUCUUCUCAUGUUCACUGUACAUGCUUCAUACUAGACUUGGUGUAAUGCAGAGAUUCCAUGCUUGCUUCUCUCUAUUUUCAAAUGGUUUGCCUUUAGAGUUUAGACCACUGCAACUUCUUCAUCAUUCCAAUAGAAUUGAUUAUUAGUUAUUUAUUAGCAUUACUAAAUGGUUAACAUUAGAUUUUUUUAUGGGACUACACUUCCAUUUAACCAAAAUCUGCCUGCUUUCUUAAACUCUCAACAAGUUGGUGGGAAUUUGGAAGAUUUCCCCUUGGUUAUAUAAAUUUAAACAACAACAAAGAAGAAUAGGUUUUGUGAGGAACCAUACAGGAGCAUAUUUAGUCCCAUAUUAGCUAUGCACUGGGUAGGUCUUGGGUACUUAUACAAGACCAAUGAACUCAAAUAAUACUUUCCAGCUAGCCUUUUUGGAUGAGGUCUUGAGUUAUUAAAAAUGGUAUUAGAGCAGCCCUGCCCCAUGGCCCAUAUGAACUAGAGGGCACUGCACACAGAUCCAUUGAGGCUGACCACAAACCGAUCGUAAUGUUUGCAAUUGGAUUUAUGGUGCUUGUGAAUGGAUUUGCAUGAAUUUGGACUCUUGGCCUAGCAAGGAGGCCAGGAUUUAAGAGGAGUAUGCAAGGACCCAUGUGGGUGUAUGCUUACUCCCACAUCGGCAAUCCACUGGGUAGAUCUUAAGUACAUAUACAAGGCCAAUGAACUCAAAUAAUACCUUUCGACUAGCUUUUUUGGAUGAAAUCCUAGGUUGUUACAGAUUUUCUUCUUCUCUUUUGAUUCCAUAAAAGGGCAAGGGAGACAACCGACAAGAUAAGAUAAGAACUAGGAAAAAUAAGCUUCCCUACCCACCGACCAUUCUUCUAGGAGUCACUCUCUUGCAUAAAGUUGUUCGGCAAAAGAGUUUAGCAACAACUCUUGAAAAGGAUUAACAUCAAGAGUUAAGUUGGCAACAGAUCAUAGUACAAUUGGCCCCAUUUCGACAAAAAAGGACUUGGAUCAUGAUGAUGAUGAGUAAAAUGGUCAUUUGACAUUUUCACCCAAUAAAGUCAAACUAACUAGGUGCAUCCAUAGCAAUGCAAACUACGUAGAAAGUGCACAACAUCCUAAGUGAUUCUUUUGCUUAGUAUGAAUGUCCUAAAGAACAAACUUGUGAAAAAUAUAAAGCAAUACAAAGUGUAAACCAUAGUUCUCUCAUUAAUGGCAUGCCUUCAGGAACACAAUCAAGCAGAUACAAACUUGGAUGCACAUCUUCCUUGAAUCACAUGAAAAAACCAAUAAUUAAAAAGAGUAAAAAAUAUUUAGAGGUCUACAGGAUGUAUUCCUAUUUUUGAAGACACAUUGUGCUUAGAUGAGCUAUGCCCAAUGUGAAAUGGACCAUAAAUAAGUACACAUGCAGAUUCAGCAAGAAAUUCAAAAUAUCAUGCACAAAAAGUGACAAUGCUACAUCUACAUUUUUGCUGAAGAUCUAUGGUGUUUAAUUAGGUUAACAUAAAAAAAAAUAAAGGAGCACAACCAAUUUAAAAGUUUUUAGAACUUCAAGCUUCAAAAUACUCAGCAUACGAAUACUUCUACACUAGAUAAAGAAACAGAGAAGCAUAUAUACAUACAUAUACAUUUACAUGUGCAUAAUAAAUAUAUACACAUUUAUAGAUUCAGGCAUGUGUACAUGUGUAUGCCAUCAAAGCCUCUUUUUCAACAAAAUGGAUUUUGCUAUAAAGUGAACUCUAAAUUGAGAAAGCUCCAAGGAAGAAUUGAGCAGGUUUCUAUAAUUGGUUAACCAUAGACUCGACAUUAUCUGUCUUAAGAACUGGUGCCAAAUUUCGAGCCAAGGUAAGCAAGGAAAAAGCUAGCUAGCAAGGAAUGAGGCCAGGUUUACGGAUCACAUAUCUAAGCUAAUGCAACCUGCUCCCUUCAAAAUCUCCCUCUACUAGAAAGCUUGCAGAUAAAGAGGAAACAAAAACAUGUCAUUUCCAUCCAAAAAUCCCUUAGAGACAAACAAUUCUUCAGCAAGUAAGCACUCACCUGCACACUUACAGGCAUAUAUGCAUGUACAUUAAUACAUACAUAUACAUAAUAUGCAUAUACAUAGACAUAUUUCAAAGAUGCUAAUGCAAGUGUCGAUACUUCUCAAAGAGAUUGAUUUAAAAUAUACGCAUAUACAUAAAUACAUAAUUAAAUUUAUCUUAGAGACCUAUUUCAAUGAAAAAUUUAAAACUAAUGGCAUUUUAUUGGAAUAUUGUAGCAAUAUUUUAAUCAAUCUCUUUGAGAAGUAUCGACACUUGCAUUAAUGCGCCCUUGAAUAGACACUCCAACAUAUUACCAAGUGCAUCAUCUUUGAGCUGAUGGAUUCAAGACACUCCAUUUUUGAAAUGGCAAUGUGUCAUACCAUGUGUAAUGCCCAAGAUCCAAAAGCAAUGACACUCAAGAAUUCCUAAAAUGUAAAGAAGCUUAUAUAAUUUAAAGCACAAGGUCAAGCUGAUAUGCAACUCGAGAUUAUGGUGGCACAAAGCUCGAAACAAGAAGUUAGUUCAUGCAGCAUAGAUCAAGGCAAAUAAAAACAACAACUCCGAAGAAAAUGCAUGUGCCUCCCAGAUAUGCAACAAAGAUCAAACAUCAGGAUAGAAUCUUACAUGCAAGAUUUGCAGUCAAAAGUUGAUUAGUUCUAAAUGUGCAUGCAUAUCUAAUUAGUUUCAUCUCAUAUAAUGGCAAAACUAAAGAAGUUUCUUAAAUUUUUAGGGUGCUUUGAGGUUUUGGUGUUUUCACUUUUUGAAGGUUUACUUAGCAACAUGCAACAUCUAAGCAUGCUGAACUUGAACCUGAUCCAAAAAUAGUGUCCAAAAAGAAAAAGGAAGUGCACAAGUUGGAAAAAAAAAAUACAGCAAGAGGUGAGUCAGAAGCCUAAUUUAGCUUAUGCUCACCUCAGAGCCUUGAAUGUUAUGGACACUUGCUGCACAUUGUCCGUCACCGUCGCGUAGUAACGGAUCGGUUUAAUGAUCUUUGCAAUAAAAAGCGCUUUUGCAGAGUCAUCCAUCUUGUUCUUAUCACCAAUCUCAUCUUCAGUGGAUCCAACAUCUUCAUUCCCCGACUUUUCACCUUUGCCGCAAGAUCCAUUUGCACUCCUGGCAGCUGCAUUUCGCACCUCGUCCCGAUCACAAGGACGUGAAUCCUGCUUGAACCUCCUCACGCAUCCAGACUUCCUCCUCUUGGCACCAGUGACUUGGUUGCCCUGCUGCGAGGGCUGGGCGCUCUCCACCUUGGAGAACCCAUCAGUGGAACCAUCUUCCUCCCGCCCGCCAGGCAGAUGGAUGGAAAUGGACUGUCCUUGUUGCUCCCCAAGACUGGGACUCCCGUUCACACCCCUUUUCUUCUGUUCAUCUUGAGCUCCGUGCAGAGGAGAGCCAUUCGCCUCGACCGCACCUGCGUACUCCUUCCCGUUUCCCUCCUCCACCACCGCAUCUGCCUCCGCUUCCCUGGCUCUAUCAGUAGAAUUGGCAGCGGCCGUCUUGUCCUGAGACACUGGUCUCGGAUUCUCGGCGGCGGUCGCGGGAGAUUCCUCCGUCUGGCCGGAGCGCUGCUGCUGCUUCUUCUUGGCCACGCCUUGAGAAACCCCGUGCUUGCGCCUGCGCUUCCGCGAAGGCCUGGUCGACCGCGACCUGCAGAAGCACACCCCCGCCCCCCCCACACCAUUAAACUUGAGAGCGGAAGGAAAAGAAAAAGAAAACAGAGCAGAGGAAGGAUCAUGGAAGGUUCUGUAGGCACGAACGAACCUCUCUUCGAAGGCUUCGAUGAUAUCUGCGCAGGAUUUGACGUUGUCGUAGGGUUCCCAGGUGUUGGCUGUCUCCGGCCAUCCCCGCCUUCCAUGUACCCCAAUCCAAUAAACAAACAAAGACAUCAAGCCCUAAUAGGGAGCAUAAGAGGAGGAGGAGGAGAAGAGAAGUCAGUAGGUAGUAUCUAUUUUUACUUCAUACUUACCAUUUGAUGAGAUACUGGACCUGACCCUUGCGGACCCUCUUCUUUCUAAUGUCCUCGAUCUCGUAGAAGUCCUCGUCAAGCUUCGGCGCCUCCUCCUCUCCCCCCUCCAAAAACCCCCUCCUCCUCUCCCUCCUCGCCCUCCUCCUNNNNNNNNNNNNNNNNNNNNNNNNNNNNNNNNNNNNNNNNNNNNNNNNNNNNNNNNNNNNNNNNNNNNNNNNNNNNNNNNNNNNNNNNNNNNNNNNNNNNNNNNNNNNNNNNNNNNNNNNNNNNNNNNNNNNNNNNNNGGACGACGUGGCGGCAUCGCCCUUCUUCCGGCCGAUCUUCAUCUGAUCUGGAUCCUUUGGUCGCAGGUUUCCUUUUUAUUUUCCUUUUUCUUUUUUUUC
Molecule: long non-coding RNA, 5568 nt
Filed under: Phoenix dactylifera (date palm)
Lineage: Eukaryota; Viridiplantae; Streptophyta; Magnoliopsida; Arecales; Arecaceae
Description: long non-coding RNA (PDAC_LNC004667)
Source: RNAcentral